UACGAAGGAUCCAAGCGUUAUCCGGAUUUAUUGGGUUUAAAGGGUGCGUAGGUGGAUUGAUAAGUCAGUGGUGAAAGCCUCCCGCUUAACGGGAGAAUUGCCGUUGAUACUGUCAGUCUUGAGUACAUUUGAGGUGGGCGGAAUGUGUCAUGUAGCGGUGAAAUGCUUAGAUAUGACACAGAACACCGAUUGCGAAGGCAGCUCACUAAACUGUAACUGACACUGAGGCACGAAAGCGUGGGUAGCAAACAGG
This 253-nucleotide ribosomal RNA is filed under the name uncultured bacterium. RNAcentral describes it as "partial 16S ribosomal RNA". It matches the Rfam family "Bacterial small subunit ribosomal RNA", at positions 524 to 776 of the family's 1533-position model. The record is from RNAcentral.